Long non-coding RNA from Harpia harpyja (harpy eagle), 3918 nucleotides. RefSeq lists it as uncharacterized. The record is from RefSeq and is a predicted model, not a curated record. Lineage: Eukaryota; Metazoa; Chordata; Aves; Accipitriformes; Accipitridae. The transcript has 2 exons.
AGGCUUGUUUCGGUGCCAAACUGUACGAGCAAAAAUGAGCUCCUGGCCUUUUUUUCCUUCGUCUUCAUCUUCACGCUGCCCCUCUGCUUCAUCCCUGCUUGCUUCCCCACAGCCUGCCGACGGGAGCCGGGAAUGCUGCUCUUGCAGCCUGGGAAGAGGAGGCUGGGCUGCACCUCCGGCCCCUCUCCUCCCUGUCUGGCACCGGGUGUUUCGGCAGAGAGAACGGACUCGCCCGUGAUUAAUUUAUCCUCGUGAAAAAAAUGUGUCUGACUCCGACUAAUAGCUGUUUUUAAGGGUGUUGUGUAACUUGGCUCUGGAAGGGAGACCGCCGGCGCUGUCUCGGCGAUAUAAGGUGUUCCUGGAGGUCUUGUUUACACCGGAGCGAUAAGACAAGUCUUCGACGUGUUUUAAUGUGCUAAUUGGCGGUUAUUACGGCCCUUUUUAUUUACGAUUAUACUACAAAUGUAAUGCUCCGUCUCAUUUUACUCUGCACGAAGAGCUUUGAAAGGAUGAUAAUUACCUCUCAUGUAAACCUAUACUUAUAUAGAAAAAAUGACGUGUGAAAUGAAAGGCCUGAAGAAACGGCAUAAUCUGUGUUUGCUUUGCGUAGACAUGCAGGAUACGCGCCCGCUCCGCUCCUGGAUGUAUGCAGUAUUUACACUGGAGCAGCUCGUUAGCGCCGCAGACGCGCUGCCGCGUUCGGGCACCGAAGGCAGCGUGAGGGGACCCGCGUCCCUGCCCCCUCCCUGCUGUUUGCUUAAUAUUAAGGCAGCCCUCUGCAUGUAAAUGCUGGCUGGGAGGGGAUGAAUAAUUCAUCGCCGGCACACGGAGCAAACGGAUUUUGCCUCGUUUUGCCACCCGAUUGAAAUCCUGCGUGCAAAGGGCAUCACCGCCUGCCCCGGAGCCCGUCGCAGCCUCCGGAGGAGAGCUGAGAUGUCUGGAGAGUGUUGCCUCCCUCUCUUAUUCCCCACGGGAUUAGGGCUCCGAAGCUGUCGGGUUUGGAGGGUUUGCUGGCAAUGGCUUGCGCUGCUCCACGCUCAAGAUUGCCUUUGCAUCUGUUCAUCUCGUUAUAGGGAGUGCGUCGUGCCGCAGAGUGAAAAAUUAGCCACGGAUUUUUUUUUAAAAAAAGUACAACUCCAAGGCUAUAAAAGCACGGCGUUGGCAAGGAGCGAAGGAGGGUACUGAAGCAUCCGGGUACGUUGCGACUCCCUCGGCAGCGCAUCGUUUCCCCGUGCCUGCAGGAAAACUGCAUCAGCUCCCAGAGCUGGCGAGGGAACUCGUUGCUGCAGCUCUUCCCUCUUGCUGCCUUUUCUGUUUCUUUUCCCCUUUUUUUCAUCUCCAAGGCCUGAGGGCGAUAAUUAUUUUUUGACUGGAACAAUAAGCCAAAGCCCUGCGACUGGCAGGGAUAAGUUCGGGUUGUUAUUUAUUUUAAAUGACUAAGCUGAUUUGCUUAAUGCUCAUCUCUCAGCCAGGGAUGCAGAAGGGGCAGCUCCGCUCCACCUCUCGCUUUGCUGCUGUGGAGGAAAGGUAAAUAUUUCCUUGGGCAGAAAGUUUCUCCAAGCCUUGUGAGGUAUGGCGGCCGCCACCUUCCAGCGCGGGGCGAACCUGCGGCCGGCUCGGAUGUGCAAAGUCAAUUCCAUAGGGACUCCGGCCCCACCGCUGUCACCGCUACCCCGGAGGUCCUUCUGAGAGCACGGCACAGCAUGAAAGCCUCAAGGGACAGGAGUGAUCCCGGACAGAGACAGCCCUGAGCUCGGGGCUCCCGAUGGCACCUUCGUCUUCCCCUGGGAGUCCUGAUGGAGAAGCAGAAGGAUGAGACGGGCUGUGCUGGGUCCUCUCUGUCCCCGGUGCCAGGGUGCGAGCACCCCGCGGGGGAGUGAGGUCGGACCCCCGGCACCCAAAGCCUGUCUCUGGCAAUGCAGCCAGCAAGGGCACGUCUCCCCCAGGUUGCGUCAAGCGUGAAAUUCUAGCUCAAUCGGAAUAUUUUGUUCCUUCUCUUUUUGAAGUUUGCCAGAAAACUUGCUAAGGAGGCUAAUACGGAGGGUUAAGCCUUUUCAGAGCAAAGCCAGCUGACCCAGUUAAGUCACCUGUCCCCCGGCAUAACAGGAUAUCUGCUAAACCCUUCAGCGCUGCCGAGGAACCGCUGCAAAUCCUCCCUGACGGUGCGCUGCAUCGCACCAGGGACGGGGGUAACGGGGCAAAGCAUCCCGCAGGCUCCGUGCACGGCCGCAUCCCUCCCUGCAGGGUUUAUUUUGGCCCCGGGAAGGAUUGGGAUCAUCCCUUUAUCCUCAGGCUCGCCCAGAGCGCUGGAAAGGACUUGCCUUAUGGUGGAUGCAGCUCUGCUCUGCUGUCACUCCGCUGCUCGCUUGCCUCUUUUGUUUUUACUUUAUUUUCCCAAAGCGUUCGCAAAUAAGCCGGUCUCUGCUUUACAACCCUGGCAGGCAACAGCUUUGCCGCACGGCUGGCUGCUGCGGCUCUGUGGGACCUCCCAUGCUUGCACCCGCGUCCAGCGGACGCUUCGAGGGCGCUUAACAAAAACUCAACCGAGCCGCUUCUAGCGUUGGAGCGUGUCGCUGGGCUGCUCUUGGGGUGCUGCAGCGGAGCGGCCUCGCGCAGAAAGGGCUCUACAGCCGCCGCGGGCUCGCCGAGCAUCCCUUCGGCAUGCGUGCUGCCAGUGCUCUGCAUCCUGCCGGCAGCCCGAGGAAGAUGCUGACAAACCACGAGUGGACGUUUUACAUGUACGACUGGGCCAGGAAGCACCUCCGGUACGAGCUGGCACAAUCCUCCCAAAUAUUUGCGUUGCAACAGAUGUUACUUUAUACACCGUCUUUCCCUUAAGUCUGUCAUUAUUACUGAGAGGCAGAGAUGCCAGGUGGGACUCUUACUACCAAAAUCAGGACUUGUUCAGUUGCUUUGAUGACAUCGAUUAGCUUCAGGCUGCAAGUGCCAAGAUUUCUCCAAUUACAGCUGGUAAAUCUCUCAGUCUACAAUAAUCUCAUUUGAAGUGGUUCAAAUUAGUUCAAUUUCUUUUGUAUGGAGACAGACCUCCAUAUACACCUAUAUACGUGUGGUAGAAAACUGCUUGCUGCACUGUGAGUUUGGCCUACAAAGUCUGUGUUUACUUAUGCAGUAAGUUUUCUGAAAAAAAAUCUCUUUUCUGCUGAUGUCUGUGUGAGGAUCGAGACCCCAGCAAGUCGCCAGCCCAGGGAGCUUUCUGCAAGAAGAGAAAUGCCUUCCCGGGGUGAGCUGAGACCUCCCAGGCGGACAGUGAGGACUCAUUUCUGGAUCAACAGAGGAACAAAGCUACGGAAUUAUAAGUAAACCAAAAAAACCACCAAACCAGUCAAUUUUCAAGACGUGGAAGGUGGAUUUUGGACUGCCUGGGGAGUCCGUUCCUUUGAGGACUCUGUAGCUAGAUGAACAAUAACGCAGUUCUCAAGUACUUUUGCGAGGAGGGAGGUGCUCGGUGCUGCUCGCCACGGUCCACAGUGCCUGAAGGGCAUUGGGGUGAUGGAUGGCCGUCCAAGGCGAUGCCUCUGCGCUGGGCAAAUUCCUCUUGAGCGGUUCGGCCCAGAGACAGCUCUACAGAGGGAAUAAUGCACAGGCGUUCUUGAUCUGGAAAGCGCUUCAUUUAAAUCUGGUUGAGAACUGGGACCGUGCAGGAGCGGCCGUCCUGCAGGCAGGGCUGCCUGCGCGGGGAGAAGCCUUGUUGUCCUUGGCGUAACUGUUCUGUGGAUAAACAGCCACGUUUAAUCUUCAGGGCUUUCGCUCAGACACCUUUCAUCAGAACUGCAUUAACUUCUUUUCUUUUUUUAAUGAGAGAGUAUUAAAUCUGAGAGGAUUUGCAGCAGAAGUGAGUUUCAUAUCCCAAUUUCUGCACCCAGGAAAUCAACUACUGAGUCCAAUCGUUGUCAGAAA